AAUGUCGUAACAAGGUUUCCGUAGGUGAACCUGCGGAAGGAUCAUUAAAAUGUGUUGGUUAUACAUUUCAUGUAUCAACUCAUUAACCCAUUCCGAUACCUUGCCUGUUGCUUCCAUGGGGCCCGACUGGUCACUCUUGUGAUGUGAAAUUCCAGGGAGUCCCCCAUGGGAGGUAAUCAUAAAUUCAUGUAUCCAAUGCUCUGUCUGAAUUUUAUAACAAUUGUUAAAA
This 229-nucleotide unclassified non-coding RNA is filed under the name plant metagenome. RNAcentral describes it as "partial contains small subunit ribosomal RNA and internal transcribed spacer 1". The stretch from base 1 to 47 matches the Rfam family "Eukaryotic small subunit ribosomal RNA", at positions 1785 to 1831 of the family's 1831-position model. The record is from RNAcentral.